This 460-nucleotide ribosomal RNA is filed under the name uncultured bacterium. RNAcentral describes it as "partial 16S ribosomal RNA". It matches the Rfam family "Bacterial small subunit ribosomal RNA", at positions 338 to 795 of the family's 1533-position model. The record is from RNAcentral.
CCUACGGGAGGCAGCAGUGAGGAAUAUUGGUCAAUGGACGAGAGUCUGAACCAGCCAAGUAGCGUGAAGGAUGACUGCCCUAUGGGUUGUAAACUUCUUUUAUAUGGGAAUAAAACAGGGUAUGCAUACCCUCUUGUAUGUACCAUAUGAAUAAGGAUCGGCUAACUCCGUGCCAGCAGCCGCGGUAAUACGGAGGAACCGAGCGUUAUCCGGCUUUAUUGGGUUUAAAGGGAGCGUAGGUGGAUGUUUAAGGCAGUUGUUGAAGUUUGCGGCUCAACCGUAAAAUUGCAGUUGAAACUGGCAGUCUUGAGUACAGUAGAGGUGGGCGGAAUGCGUGGUGUAGCGGUGAAAUGCUUAGAUAUCACGAAGAACUCCGAGUGCGAAGGCAGCUCACUGGCCUGCAACUGACACUGAUGCUCGAAAGUGUGGGUAUCGAACAGGAUUAGAUACCCGAGUAGUC